This 209-nucleotide long non-coding RNA is filed under the name Lathyrus oleraceus (garden pea). Its description in RNAcentral is "Pisum sativum (pea) long non-coding RNA (PSAT_LNC012415)". The record is from RNAcentral. Lineage: Eukaryota; Viridiplantae; Streptophyta; Magnoliopsida; Fabales; Fabaceae.
UUUGAUCCUUCAAUAAAUUUGAGGGUACGUAGGCAUAGAGUUGUAAGACUCUAGCGAGUAUAAUAAUCAAAAACAUUUUUUAGGGAUUCACUUACGAAAAUAAUAAAACAUUUUUAUAUAUAAAUAUAACGAAUAAUUAAACAAUUAAUCAAUAUCAAGCAAACACCCUAAAAACACACAUUAACCCUAUAAUUGAAGGAGGACCCCAU